UAUCGGAUUGAUACUAAGCCAUGCGAGUCAUUGUAGCAAUACAAGGCAUACGGCUCAGUAGCGCGUAGUCAACCUAACCUAUGGACGGGAAUAACCUCGGGAAACUGAGAAUAAUGCCCGAUAGAACAUUAUGCCUGGAAUGGUUUAUGUUCCAAAUGACUUAUCGCCGUAGGAUGGGACUGCGGCCUAUCAGUUUGUUGGUGAGGUAAUGGCCCACCAAGACUAUUACAGGUACGGGCUCUGAGAGGAGUAGCCCGGAGAUGGGUACUGAGACACGGACCCAGGCCCUAUGGGGCGCAGCAGGCGAGAAAACUUUGCAAUGUGCGAAAGCACGACAAGGUUAAUCCGAGUGGUUUCUGCUAAAGGAACCUUUUGUCAGUCCUAGAAACACUGAUGAAUAAGGGGUGGGCAAGUUCUGGUGUCAGCCGCCGCGGUAAAACCAGCACCUCAAGUGGUCAGGAUGAUUAUUGGGCCUAAAGCAUCCGUAGCCGGCUCUGUAAGUUUUCGGUUAAAUCUGUACGCUCAACGUACAGGCUGCCGGGAAUACUGCAAAGCUAGGGAGUGGGAGAGGUAGACGGUACUCGGUAGGAAGGGGUAAAAUCCUUUGAUCUAUUGAUGACCACCUGUGGCGAAGGCGGUCUACCAGAACACGUCCGACGGUGAGGGAUGAAAGCUGGGGGAGCAAACCGGAUUAGAUACCCGGGUAGUCCCAGCUGUAAACCAUGCAAACUCAGUGAUGCAUUGGCUUGUGGCCAAUGCAGUGCUGCAGGGAAGCCGUUAAGUUUGCCGCCUGGGAAGUACGUACGCAAGUAUGAAACUUAAAGGAAUUGGCGGGGGAGCACCACAAGGGGUGAAGCCUGCGGUUCAAUUGGAGUC
This 876-nucleotide ribosomal RNA is filed under the name uncultured archaeon. RNAcentral's name for it is "bacterial SSU rRNA". It matches the Rfam family "Archaeal small subunit ribosomal RNA", at positions 31 to 913 of the family's 1478-position model. The record is from RNAcentral.